GCUGUUCCCUGGCACAGCUCCCGCUUGGAUUGGUGCUGGUUUGUGUUACAGCGCCGGGGUCAUCCCGACCAGAUCAUCUCUGCCGGUGCAGGGGAGCUGCGCGAAAGCAUCUGCACCUCCCGCAGAGCCUCCGGCGUGCUGGGUUCCAGCAGGACGCUCGGGGCUUUCCCGGCACAUCCCAUUAGGUGGCAAUGCAGCCUGUGCCUCGGAGCAGCCCCGCGGGAUGACGGCAGCCAGAAACGGCUUCAGGCCCCGUGGGGAAAGAAGGCUUCGGUGGCCAAGGCUCCUGGGUAUGUGGAAAAGGCUCUCAAAUCUGUGCUUUUAACUCUAUUUCGGACCCUGGGAUUCCCAUGCCCCUGGCUCUGAGGGCUCUGAGGUGCCCUGUAGCACAUGGUGGCUGUGGCCAUCCCUGGGCCACGCAGGUUCUCUUUGCAAGUGCUUUGGCCUCUGUGUCCACGCUGGUGUUCCCUGUUUGCCUUAUUCCGUGUUGUUUCCAAGGCAGAGAAAGCACCCAGGUGGCAUCGGGGCAAGAGGGGCACUGAGCAUCUUCUCUGGGCAGCUCCUGUUCCUCUCCCUGCCUUACAGACCAUCUCAGGCUCCUGCUCUCCAUCCUCUCAGCAGACUUUCCCAGGCCUACAGAGGAGACACCUGCAAUGCCCUUGGCCUCAAGCUCUUGCUCAAGAAAUGUGUGAGUAAAGAGCUCACCUGGCCGAGUGCUGGCCUUCAGCCAGGGGACUUUCCAGGAUGACCACUGGGCCAGACAGCAGGAUUGCUCAUGGACCUCAGCAUCACCUGUGGGAGUGCCCUGUGCGCUGGUGGAGAGGAGAUGCCUGAAUUUCAAACAGGAGUUGAGGUGAAAGCACAGGGCUGGAGGCUCCGUGGGUCCCCCGGCAGGGAUUAGGGGAGCACUGGACACUCCUCCCAGUCCCCACUGUGCGUGCUGGGUGCCCCCACGGGCAGCCCUGUGCUCCGUCCCCCCUUCUCCUGGGCUCCAGUGGGUCGUGCAUCCCAUGACCUGCCUCUCCCAUGUGUAACUGGGAUGUUAUCUGGAGACUGGAAAGCACUCGGGUCCAGACUUCGGAACAGAGCAGCGUUAAUGGCAGCCCAGCCGAGGGGAAUGAAGUAAUAUUAAAGUGUGAUAUUUCAUUGCUCUGUAAUUAACUUCAGCUGCUUUCAAGCUGCAACAAAUUACCCUCAAAGCCCGUUUUUGUACCGAGGAGAACUUUGAACUGCGUUACCAGCCCUGGUGUCUGGGAGGGAGCGGGGGGGCUGCUCCUGCUGUCUGUGGCUGCAGCUCCGUGUGUGGUUUGGGAUGCAAUGGUGUGGCCCAAACCAGCCCCAGGCCGGGUGUGCCCAAACAAAGGCAGAGGUUGUGUGUUGGGGCUGGAAUUAACCCCUGCAAGGGAGAGCCCCAGAGGUGGGAAACUACCACAGUGUCUCAGGAGAGCCUUCAGCUCCACCCUGCUUGUCUUUUCUGCUGGGAGAUAUCCUGGGGCACCCCCGGGAUUGCUGCAGCCAGAGGCGGGUGUGCCCCAUGUGGGGCCUCAAAGGCUUUGGGUACAUGUGACCAUUCCCAGGGCUUCCAAAAUGCUGUGUGCAACUUAAUGCAGGGCCUGAAACUUCAUCCAGCUUGUUGGAGAGAAAAUUCAGCUGAGCUGCAUGUUAGAAGCCAGCUGGUUCAGCAAAGACCUGGGGAUCCCAUCAUUUUCGGGAGCCACUGACGCCCUUGAGUGGCGCAAAACACAGCUCUGCGUUUCCCAGCAGGACCCCUCCUGCUUCAGCUCCCUAAAUACUUGGAGAAUACACUUAGCACUUGUUUGCAUUUACUUUGCAUCUUCUCUCUCCAGCAUGAGCCGUGGAGCUGGUCCCAUGCAGCCCAGGCCUGGGAAUGUGGCCCAGGCUCCUGCCACACGCCCGAUGGCGCUGCGGGAUUUCCAGGCACAGGGGCUGCCUGGGCUGGUGGUGCCAAGCCCUCCUCAUCCUGGAGAAGCUGCUCUGGAAGAGCAGGACUGCAGCAGCUUGUCUGGGAUGCCUCAACCAGGGGCAGCUUAAUUACCCUUGAUAAAUUCAUGAGAUCAUAAAACCAAAGGAAGAUGGGAAGUGUUCCUGCUCAGCCCUCGUUGCCGAUGGGAUGCAAGGCAGGCACACUUGGAACUGGUCUGAGCGGAUUAAGCUCAGCAUCCAGAGGAACUGCAGAGACAACAUGUGCUCUGAAGAGGUGGAGAGCAAUCUUCCCAGCUCUGCAGUGUUAUCCAGGGAUGUGCUCUUCCCUUUGGAGACCUCCAGGGCAACUGGGGGCUGGGGAGCUGUGGCACAGGUCCCACAUGUUUGCCAUGUGGGUCCCUUGCCCAUCUCUGGGGGAACUGAUUCUUCCUGGUCUCCGAGGAGAGGUCUCAGCAUUCUCCCAUGUCCUGGGGAAGGGCUGGCUGUCCCCUUGGAUGUGCUUGGGAGAGGAGGAGGGAACUGUGGCUGGUCUGGACCUCUCUGCCCCUCUUCAUGUGCCUACCAAGGGGAUGGUCAGAGGAGUUUGAAGAGCUGCUCUGUUUCUGUGGAUGAUGUUGGGGGAUGAAAAUCCCUGAUCUGGAUGUGUUAGAGAGGCAAGCAGACCUUCUACCCAAAUUCCCAGGGAGAAAGCCAGCAGCCCGGAUUCCACCGUGCCACCCUGCUCCUGCCUGUGAUGGCUCAGUCCCAGCCUGGGCCCCAGCAGCCCUGUUCCACCAGCUGCAGUGGGGUUCCAACCCCACUCCUGGGCGUGGCAUAGGAGGGGUCACAAGAAGCCUGAUCCAUGGGCAAGAGACUUAAAAAAAGAGAGGGAAGCUUCCACCUCUGUUUCCUGCCGUGCUGGUGGAGCAGUGCUGGAGCACAGCCUGGUGCCUCGGGCAGGAGAUGUGAAGCAGUGACACGUGGCUUAGCUUUAAUUACCCUUAAUUACCCAAACCCAUCCACCUGGGUCAAAAUCUGGGGCAGGUGCAUCCCAGUGGGACAAGGGAACAGAGAGACUGGGCAGUGCCCUGAUGGAGCUGCCCUUCCCAGGAAAGCCAUGUGGUUUGGAUCCCGCUGGGAGUGCUGCAGCCCCAGCCUUAUCACCUUCACUAGGCCAAGUGGAGUGAGUUAAUGAUGGGAUUCAUCACAAAGCAAUCCAAGGAGCAGCAGUGGAUCCAAGUGCUUUCCAUUCAGUGAUGCACAUCUAAACCUUAAUGGAAGCUGACAGCCUGACCCUGGGACCGUGCUCUGGCCAAAUACAAUCAGCCUGAUAGUUCCCUGGAGAAAGCAGCCAUGGCUUUAAUGUGUCUUCUCAAAACAUUUGUCUCACCAGCUUAAAAGGAGAAGCCCAACUUGCAGAGGUGCAGAGCUGGGGUUGUCUGACCUCCCCUCUCUUCCCCAGCUCUGCAGCGCACGGUGGUGCAGCUUGAAAAGCCUCAGCCUGGGAAUGUGCUGGAAUGGCUCAAUCCAGCAAGGAAAGCUCCACCAGCAUCCCCAAUCCUCUCCAGGCUGUGCUCUCAAGUCGGCAUCGCUGGUACCCAAGGGAAGAAUUAACAUACUGCAGGAGCAGAUGUUGGCAGGGAGACUCAGGUGGGAGAGGAUGAUGCUGUGGACACCUUCACUGCCUCUGCUCUCCUCUCCUCGGCACUCCAGGACCCAAACCUGGCAAAACUCACUCAUCAGCAUCAGAAGCAAAUGACUUGGAAACAGCCAGGUAAAACUGCAACUCUUUUGAUCUUUGGGGCUUUGUUUUGUUUGCCUGAUCUUACAGCUCCCUAACACUUUUGUGUUGGAAUCACAGCAGUUAUCAUAUCUUCCUUAUCACUGCUGCAGAGGAAAGCUAAAAGCAACCUGUUCCUCCAUAGCUUGUGCCACAAGGAUCCUCCAGAUCCACAAGGAUCCUGCCAAAACAGGUCUGACCAAAGCACUUCAGAGACCAGAUCUCUGUUGGAGUUCACUGCAGCACCUCCACAGCCCUCCCCGACCAGCCCCCUAUUCCCACUGUAGAUGGAGGACAGCAGGCACCCACUGGGGAGGAUGUUGGUGACAACUGGGAAGCCCUGAAAUCAGAGAGAUCCGUGGGGCAGGACCUUGUGUGUGACCCACCCCACAUGCCAAGACAGCGGGUGGAGUGGUCACUCUUCCCUCCCAGGGUCCUAUCCCCGCAUCCUGCUUGCUGUGAGCGAGCUGUCUGAAGGAACAGGAAUUGCUGCCAGGUUAGGAGGUAUUUCUCACCCCCAUGAAAACAAACAGGCUGAUUUGUUCCCAAUUUGCUCGUCCAUGGGAGCUGCAAAGCUUUGCCUGCGUGGGGUGGGAGCUGGGAGUUUGGCUCCGUUUGAUUGCGUGCUCUCCUGCCCCAGCUUCAAAGAUCUCUUUGCUUUUCCACUCCCUUUUAUGUCCCAUCUCUUGAAGUUCCAGUCCUGCACAAAGGCACAAACCCAGGACAGCUGAAGGCUUCCAAAUGCAAUUAUUUUCCAAAGCAUUUCAAUAAAUUAGCAGCUCGUUUCUUUGCCAGACAGCACUUCCCUUCCCAUUGACCCACGUCUGUGCAGCCUGCAGUGUGCCUUGGACCUUUAUCCUCCGGGAUGUCAGCCUGGGAGGACGGAGCUGGGCACUCUUAGCUGUGAUUCAGACCUGGACUGGGACUCCAGAAGGGUUGGCAUGAGCAUCUGCAGAUAUAUAUUUUUUUAAUAGCCAUUUAUUUAUUAAACUACUUUGGAGUCUGAUUCA
Molecule: long non-coding RNA, 4713 nt
Organism: Pseudopipra pipra
Lineage: Eukaryota; Metazoa; Chordata; Aves; Passeriformes; Pipridae
Exons: 2
Source: RefSeq, a predicted model, not a curated record